AGUGAACGCUGGCGGUAGGCCUAACACAUGCAAGUCGAACGGCAGCACAGUAAGAGCUUGCUCUUACGGGUGGCGAGUGGCGGACGGGUGAGGAAUACAUCGGAAUCUACUUUUUCGUGGGGGAUAACGUAGGGAAACUUACGCUAAUACCGCAUACGACCUACGGGUGAAAGCAGGGGAUCUUCGGACCUUGCGCGAUUGAAUGAGCCGAUGUCGGAUUAGCUAGUUGGCGGGGUAAAGGCCCACCAAGGCGACGAUCCGUAGCUGGUCUGAGAGGAUGAUCAGCCACACUGGAACUGAGACACGGUCCAGACUCCUACGGGAGGCAGCAGUGGGGAAUAUUGGACAAUGGGCGCAAGCCCUAUCCAGCCAUACCGCGUGGGUGAAGAAGGCCUUCGGGUUGUAAAGCCCUUUUGUUGGGAAAGAAAAGCAGCAGGUUAAUACCCCGCUGUUCUGACGGUACCCAAAGAAUAAGCACCGGCUAACUUCGUG
RNAcentral lists this ribosomal RNA (492 nucleotides) under uncultured bacterium. RNAcentral describes it as "partial 16S ribosomal RNA". It matches the Rfam family "Bacterial small subunit ribosomal RNA", at positions 29 to 507 of the family's 1533-position model. The record is from RNAcentral.